RNAcentral lists this ribosomal RNA (756 nucleotides) under uncultured bacterium. RNAcentral's name for it is "bacterial SSU rRNA". It matches the Rfam family "Bacterial small subunit ribosomal RNA", at positions 60 to 800 of the family's 1533-position model. The record is from RNAcentral.
AGUCGAGGGGCAGCGGGGCGGCAGGCUUGCCUGCCGCCGCCGGCGACCCCUAAAAGGUGAGUAACACGUAUGCAACCUGCCCGUGGCAGGGGGAUAAGCGGGGGAAACCCCGUCUAAUACCGCGUAACGCGGCCUAGGGACAUCCCAAGGCCGCCAAAGGGAGCAAUCCCGGCCACGGAUGGGCAUGCGGCGCAUUAGCUAGUCGGCGGGGUAACGGCCCACCGAGGCGACGAUGCGUAGGGGUUCUGAGAGGAAGGCCCCCCACACUGGUACUGAGACACGGACCAGACUCCUACGGGAGGCAGCAGUGAGGAAUAUUGGUCAAUGGGCGCGAGCCUGAACCAGCCAAGUCGCGUGAGGGAGGACGGCCCUACGGGUUGUAAACCUCUUUUGCCGGGGAGCAACGGGCGCCACGUGUGGCGCCACUGAGAGUACCCGGAGAAAAAGCAUCGGCUAACUCCGUGCCAGCAGCCGCGGUAAUACGGAGGAUGCGAGCGUUAUCCGGAUUUAUUGGGUUUAAAGGGUGCGUAGGCGGAUCGUUAAGUCAGUGGUCAAAUUGAGGGGCUCAACCCCUUCCCGCCAUUGAAACUGGCGCUCUUGAGUGGAAGAGAAGUAUGCGGAAUGCGUGGUGUAGCGGUGAAAUGCAUAGAUAUCACGCAGAACCCCGAUUGCGAAGGCAGCAUGCCGGCUUCCUACUGACGCUGAAGCACGAAAGCGUGGGGAUCGAACAGGAUUAGAUACCCUGGUAGUCCACGC